UAGAGUUUGAUUCUGGCUCAGGAUGAACGCUGGCUACAGGCUUAACACAUGCAAGUCGCGGGGCAGCGCGGGGGUGGCAACACUUCUGGCGGCGACCGGCGCACGGGUGAGUAACGCGUAUCCAACCUCCCCCACACCACGGGACAGCCCGCUGAAAAGCGGAUUAAUACCGUAUGUUCUCCGAAGCGGACAUCCAAUUCGGAGCAAAAGAGCUUUUCUGGUAUGGGCUGGGGAUGCGUCUGAUUAGGCAGUUGGCGGGGUAACGGCCCACCAAGCCGACGAUCAGUAGGGGUUCUGAGGGGAAGGUCCCCCACAUUGGAACUGAGACACGGUCCAAACUCCUACGGGAGGCAGCAGUGAGGAAUAUUGGUCAAUGGGCGCAAGCCUGAACCAGCCAAGUAGCGUGAGGGAAGACGGCCCUAUGGGUUGUAAACCUCUUUUAUGCGGGGAUAAAGUGGGCCACGUGUGGCUUUUUGCAGGUACCGCAUGAAUAAGGACCGGCUAAUUCCGUGCCAGCAGCCGCGGUAAUACGGAAGGUCCGGGCGUUAUCCGGAUUUAUUGGGUUUAAAGGGAGCGUAGGCCGGCUGUCAAGCGUGCUGUGAAAUGCGGGUGCCCAACACCUGACGUGCAGCGCAAACUGGCGGUCUUGAGUGCGCGGGAGGCAGGCGGAAUUUGUGGUGUAGCGGUGAAAUGCUUAGAUAUCACGAAGAACUCCGAUUGCGAAGGCAGCCUGCCGUAGCGUUACUGACGCUGAGGCUCGAAGGUGCGGGUAUCGAACAGGAUUAGAUACCCUGGUAGUCCGCACAGUAAACGAUGGACACCCGCUGUCGGCUCGUUAGAGCCGGUGGCCAAGCGAAAGCGUUAAGUGUCCCACCUGGGGAGUACGCCGGCAACGGUGAAACUCAAAGGAAUUGACGGGGGCCCGCACAAGCGGAGGAACAUGUGGUUUAAUUCGAUGAUACGCGAGGAACCUUACCCGGGCUUGAAUUGCAGACGGAGGGGGCAGAGACGCCCCCGCUCUUCGGAGCGUCUGUGAAGGUGCUGCAUGGUUGUCGCCAGCUCGUGCCGUGAGGUGUCGGCUUAAGUGCCAUAACGAGCGCAACCCCUAUUCGCAGUUGCCAUCAGGUAAUGCUGGGCACUCUGCGGACACUGCCACCGCAAGGUGUGAGGAAGGUGGGGAUGACGUCAAAUCAGCACGGCCCUUACGUCCGGGGCUACACACGUGUUACAAUGGCGCGUACAGAGGGCUGGCGCACGGCAACGUGCGUCGAAUCCUUAAAGCGCGCCGUAGUUCGGAUUGGGGUCUGCAACCCGACCCCAUGAAGCUGGAUUCGCUAGUAAUCGCGCAUCAGCCAUGGCGCGGUGAAUACGUUCCCGGGCCUUGCACACACCGCCCGUCAAG
Molecule: ribosomal RNA, 1402 nt
Filed under: uncultured bacterium
Lineage: Bacteria
Description: bacterial SSU rRNA
Rfam family: Bacterial small subunit ribosomal RNA
Source: RNAcentral